GCACAAGCGGUGGAGCAUGUGGUUAAUUCGAAGCAACGCGAAGAACCUUACCAGGUCUUGACAUCCCGAUGCUAUUCUAGAGAUAGAAAGUUACUUCGGUACAUCGGUGACAGGUGGUGCAUGGUUGUCGUCAGCUCGUGUCGUGAGAUGUUGGGUUAAGUCCCGCAACGAGCGCAACCCCUAUUGUUAGUUGCCAUCAUUCAGUUGGGCACUCUAGCGAGACUGCCGGUAAUAAACCGGAGGAAGGUGGGGAUGACGUCAAAUCAUCAUGCCCCUUAUGACCUGGGCUACACACGUGCUACAAUGGUUGGUACAACGAGUUGCGAGUCGGUGACGGCGAGCUAAUCUCUUAAAGCCAAUCUCAGUUCGGAUUGUAGGCUGCAACUCGCCUACAUGAAGUCGGAAUCGCUAGUAAUCGCGGAUCAGCACGCCGCGGUGAAUACGUUCCCGGGCCUU
Molecule: ribosomal RNA, 456 nt
Filed under: uncultured Streptococcus sp.
Lineage: Bacteria; Bacillati; Bacillota; Bacilli; Lactobacillales; Streptococcaceae
Description: bacterial SSU rRNA
Rfam family: Bacterial small subunit ribosomal RNA
Source: RNAcentral